UGAACGCUAGCGAUAGGCUUAACACAUGCAAGUCGAGGGGCAGCACGGUGUAGCAAUACACUGGUGGCGACCGGCGUACGGGUGCGUAACACGUAUGCAACCUACCCGCUAUUGGGGGAUAACCCGGCGAAAGUCGGACUAAUACCCCAUAUUAUUCUUACCGGGCAUCCGGUAGGUCUGAAAGAUUUAUCGAUUGCGGAUGGGCAUGCGGAUGAUUAGCUAGUAGGUGGGGUAACGGCUCACCUAGGCGACGAUCAUUAGGGGUUCUGAGAGGAAGGUCCCCCCACACUGGAACUGAGACACGGUCCAGACUCCUACGGGAGGCAGCAGUGAGGAAUAUUGGUCAAUGGGCGCUAGCCUGAACCAGCCAAGUCGCGUGAAGGAUGAACCAGAUCUAUGGUUUGUAAACUUCUUUUGCAGGGGAGUAAAGUGCGACACGUGUGUUGUAUUGCAAGUACCCUGCGAAUAAGCAUCGGCUAACUCCGUGCCAGCCGCGGC
Molecule: ribosomal RNA, 498 nt
Filed under: uncultured bacterium
Lineage: Bacteria
Description: bacterial SSU rRNA
Rfam family: Bacterial small subunit ribosomal RNA
Source: RNAcentral